AAUCAACGCUGGCGGCGUGCCUAACACAUGCAAGUCGAACGCGAAAGCCCCUUCGGGGGUAAGUAGAGUGGCGUCCGGGUGAGUAACACGUGGGUAAUCUGCCUUCGGGUGGGGAAUAACCCAGGGAAACUUGGGCUAAUACCGCAUAAUGCAGCGGCACCUAAUGGUGAUUAGUUGUUAAAGGGGGGGAUCGCAAGACCUCGCGCCUGAAGAGGAGCCUGCGGCAGAUUAGCUAGUUGGUGAGGUAACGGCUCACCAAGGCUACGAUCUGUAGCUGGUCUGAGAGGACGGCCAGCCACACUGGCACUGACACACGGGCCAGACUCCUACGGGAGGCAGCAGUGGGGAAUUUUGGGCAAUGGGCGAAAGCCUGACCCAGCAACGCCGCGUGAGGGAGGAAAUCCUUCGGGAUGUAAACCUCACAAGCAAGGGAAGAGAGCUGCGGGCUGAAUAAUCCCGCGGUACGACGGUACCUUGCGUAAGCCACGGCUAACUACGUGC
This 501-nucleotide ribosomal RNA is filed under the name uncultured bacterium. Its description in RNAcentral is "bacterial SSU rRNA". It matches the Rfam family "Bacterial small subunit ribosomal RNA", at positions 32 to 508 of the family's 1533-position model. The record is from RNAcentral.